This 511-nucleotide ribosomal RNA is filed under the name uncultured Bacillota bacterium. Its description in RNAcentral is "bacterial SSU rRNA". It matches the Rfam family "Bacterial small subunit ribosomal RNA", at positions 355 to 857 of the family's 1533-position model. Lineage: Bacteria; Bacillati; Bacillota. The record is from RNAcentral.
UAGGGAAUCUUCCGCAAUGGACGAAAGUCUGACGGAGCAACGCCGCGUGAGCGAUGAAGGCCUUCGGGUCGUAAAGCUCUGUUGUUAGGGAAGAACAAGUACCGUUCGAAUAGGGCGGUACCUUGACGGUACCUAACCAGAAAGCCACGGCUAACUACGUGCCAGCAGCCGCGGUAAUACGUAGGUGGCAAGCGUUGUCCGGAAUUAUUGGGCGCAAAGCGCGCGCAGGCGGUUCCUUAAGUCUGAUGUGAAAGCCCACGGCUCAACCGUGGAGGGUCAUUGGAAACUGGGGAACUUGAGUGCAGAGGAGGAAAGCGGAAUUCCACGUGUAGCGGUGAAAUGCGUAGAGAUGUGGAGGAACACCAGUGGCGAAGGCGGCUUUCUGGUCUGUAACUGACGCUGAGGCGCGAAAGCGUGGGGAGCAAACAGGAUUAGAUACCCUGGUAGUCCACGCCGUAAACGAUGAGUGCUAAGUGUUAGGGGGUUUCCGCCCUUAGUGCUGCAGCUAACG